RNAcentral lists this transfer RNA (74 nucleotides) under Treponema sp. RNAcentral's name for it is "tRNA-Arg". It matches the Rfam family "tRNA". From Rfam's summary of the family: Transfer RNA (tRNA) molecules are approximately 80 nucleotides in length. Their secondary structure includes four short double-helical elements and three loops (D, anti-codon, and T loops). RNAcentral also lists the same sequence under 1 other name. The record is from RNAcentral. Lineage: Bacteria; Pseudomonadati; Spirochaetota; Spirochaetia; Treponematales; Treponemataceae.
GAGAGAUUAGCGCAACUGGAUAGAGCGUCGGCCUCCGGAGCCGAAGGCUGCGGGUUCAAAUCCCGCAUCUCUCA